CGAGAAUAUUUGGCAAUGGGCGAAAGCCUGACCAUGCGACGCCGCGUGCUGGACGAAGUCCUUCGGGACGUAAACAGCUUUUACGCGUGAAGAAGUUAUUGACAUUAGCGCGUGAAUAAGGGGCUCCUAACUCUGUGCCAGCAGGAGCGGUAAUACAGAGGCCCCAAGCAUUACCCGGAAUCACUGGGCGUAAAGGGUGUGUAGGCGGUCGUAUUAGUCUUCCGUGAAAGCACUUGGACUCAAUCCAGGUAACGCGGGAGAAACGGUACGACUGAGAGGAUGCGAGAGGUAUAGGGAACUCAUGGUGUAGGGGUGAAAUCCGUUGAUAUCAUGGGGAACACCAAAAGCGAAGGCACUAUACUGGCGCACUCCUGACGCUGAAACACGAAAGCGUGGGAAUCGAACG
Molecule: ribosomal RNA, 406 nt
Filed under: uncultured bacterium
Lineage: Bacteria
Description: bacterial SSU rRNA
Rfam family: Bacterial small subunit ribosomal RNA
Source: RNAcentral